This 264-nucleotide ribosomal RNA is filed under the name uncultured bacterium. RNAcentral describes it as "partial 16S ribosomal RNA". It matches the Rfam family "Bacterial small subunit ribosomal RNA", at positions 793 to 1055 of the family's 1533-position model. The record is from RNAcentral.
GUCCACGCCAUAAACGAUGACAACUAGACGUUGGGGGCAUAUGGCCCACAGUGUCGCAGCUAACGCGUUAAGUUGUCCGCCUGGGGAGUACGGCCGCAAGGUUGAAACUCAAAGGAAUUGACGGGGACCCCGCACAAGCGGUGGAGCAUGUGGUUUAAUUCGAUGCAACGCGAAGAACCUUACCUGGUCUUGACAUCCAUGGGAUCCCGAAGAGAUUUGGGAGUGCCGCAAGGAACCAUGAGACAGGUGCUGCAUGGCUGUCGU